This 345-nucleotide unclassified non-coding RNA is filed under the name soil metagenome. RNAcentral describes it as "partial contains 5.8S ribosomal RNA, internal transcribed spacer 2, and large subunit ribosomal RNA". The stretch from base 1 to 120 matches the Rfam family "5.8S ribosomal RNA", at positions 35 to 154 of the family's 154-position model. The record is from RNAcentral.
GAUGAAGAACGUAGCGAAACGCGAUAUGUAAUGUGAAUUGCAGAAUUCAGUGAAUCAUCGAAUCUUUGAACGCACAUUGCGCCCCCUGGUAUUCCGGGGGGCAUGCCUGUCCGAGCGUCAUUGCUGCCCUCAAGCACGGCUUGUGUGUUGGGCCUCCGUCCUCCUCCCGGGGGACGGGCCCGAAAGGCAGCGGCGGCACCGCGUCCGGUCCUCGAGCGUAUGGGGCUUCGUCACCCGCUCUUGUAGGCCCGGCCGGCGCUUGCCGACACAUCAAUCUUUUUUCCAGGUUGACCUCGGAUCAGGUAGGGAUACCCGCUGAACUUAAGCAUAUCAAUAAGCGGAGGA